RNAcentral lists this ribosomal RNA (501 nucleotides) under uncultured bacterium. Its description in RNAcentral is "partial 16S ribosomal RNA". It matches the Rfam family "Bacterial small subunit ribosomal RNA", at positions 30 to 523 of the family's 1533-position model. The record is from RNAcentral.
AUUAAACGCUGGCGGCAGGCUUAACGCAUGCAAGUCGAGCGGAGAUGAGGUGCUUGCACCUUAUCUUAGCGGCGGACGGGUGAGUAAUGCUUAGGAAUCUGCCUAUUAGUGGGGGACAACAUUCCGAAAGGAAUGCUAAUACCGCAUACGUCCUACGGGAGAAAGCAGGGGAUCUUCGGACCUUGCGCUAAUAGAUGAGCCUAAGUCGGAUUAGCUAGUUGGUGGGGUAAAGGCCUACCAAGGCGACGAUCUGUAGCGGGUCUGAGAGGAUGAUCCGCCACACUGGGACUGAGACACGGCCCAGACUCUUACGGGAGGCAGCAGUGGGGAAUAUUGGACAAUGGGGGGAACCCUGAUCCAGCCAUGCCGCGUGUGUGAAGAAGGCCUUAUGGUUGUAAAGCACUUUAAGCGAGGAGGAGGCUACUGAGACUAAUACUCUUGGAUAGUGGACGUUACUCGCAGAAUAAGCACCGGCUAACUCUGUGCCAGCCGCCGCCGUAA